GAGUUUGAUCGUGGCUCAGAUUGAACGCUGGCGGCAUGCCUUACACAUGCAAGUCGAACGGCAGCAUGAUCUAGCUUGCUAGAUUGAUGGCGAGUGGCGAACGGGUGAGUAAUACAUCGGAACGUGCCCUGUAGUGGGGGAUAACUAGUCGAAAGAUUAGCUAAUACCGCAUACGACCUGAGGGUGAGAGUGGGGGACCGCAAGGCCUCAUGCUAUAGGAGCGGCCGAUGUCUGAUUAGCUAGUUGGUGGGGUAAAGGCCCACCAAGGCGACGAUCAGUAGCUGGUCUGAGAGGACGAUCAGCCACACUGGGACUGAGACACGGCCCAGACUCCUACGGGAGGCAGCAGUGGGGAAUUUUGGACAAUGGGCGAAAGCCUGAUCCAGCAAUGCCGCGUGUGUGAAGAAGGCCUCGGUUGUAAG
RNAcentral lists this ribosomal RNA (422 nucleotides) under uncultured microorganism. Its description in RNAcentral is "bacterial SSU rRNA". It matches the Rfam family "Bacterial small subunit ribosomal RNA", at positions 9 to 429 of the family's 1533-position model. The record is from RNAcentral.